UGGGGAAUCUUGCGCAAUGGGCGAAAGCCUGACGCAGCGACGCCGCGUGAGGGAAGAAGGCCUUCGGGUUGUAAACCUCUUUCAGGAGGGACGAAGCCACUCGGGUGAAUAGCCCAGAGGGUGACGGUACCUCCAGAAGAAGCCCCGGCUAACUACGUGCCAGCAGCCGCGGUAAUACGUAGGGGGCAAGCGUUGUCCGGAUUUAUUGGGCGUAAAGAGCGUGUAGGCGGCCUGGAAGGUCAGCUGUGAAAACUCGAGGCUCAACCUCGAGACGUCGGUUGAAACCACCUGGCUAGAGUCCGGAAGAGGAGUGUGGAAUUCCCGGUGUAGCGGUGAAAUGCGCAGAUAUCGGGAAGAACACCCGUGGCGAAGGCGGCACUCUGGGACGGUACUGACGCUGAGACGCGAAAGCGUGGGGAGCGAACAGG
This 428-nucleotide ribosomal RNA is filed under the name uncultured bacterium. RNAcentral describes it as "bacterial SSU rRNA". It matches the Rfam family "Bacterial small subunit ribosomal RNA", at positions 355 to 776 of the family's 1533-position model. The record is from RNAcentral.